RNAcentral lists this ribosomal RNA (485 nucleotides) under uncultured beta proteobacterium. RNAcentral describes it as "bacterial SSU rRNA". It matches the Rfam family "Bacterial small subunit ribosomal RNA", at positions 9 to 489 of the family's 1533-position model. The record is from RNAcentral. Lineage: Bacteria; Pseudomonadati; Pseudomonadota; Betaproteobacteria.
GAGUUUGAUCCUGGCUCAGAUUGAACGCUGGCGGCAUGCCUUACACAUGCAAGUCGAACGGCAGCACGGGGGCAACCCUGGUGGCGAGUGGCGAACGGGUGAGUAAUACAUCGGAACGUGUCCUGUAGUGGGGGAUAGCCCGGCGAAAGCCGGAUUAAUACCGCAUACGCUCUACGGAGGAAAGGGGGGGAUCUUAGGACCUCCCGCUACAGGGGCGGCCGAUGGCAGAUUAGCUAGUUGGUGGGGUAAAGGCCUACCAAGGCGACGAUCUGUAGCUGGUCUGAGAGGACGACCAGCCACACUGGGACUGAGACACGGCCCAGACUCCUACGGGAGGCAGCAGUGGGGAAUUUUGGACAAUGGGGGCAACCCUGAUCCAGCAAUGCCGCGUGUGUGAAGAAGGCCUUCGGGUUGUAAAGCACUUUUGUCCGGAAAGAAAACGCCGUGGUUUAUACCCGUGGCGGAUGACGGUACCGGAAGAAUAA